Small nucleolar RNA from Monodelphis domestica (gray short-tailed opossum), 83 nucleotides. Ensembl annotates it as small nucleolar RNA, C/D box 45B. NCBI's taxonomy places the organism in Eukaryota, Metazoa, Chordata, Mammalia, Didelphimorphia, Didelphidae. The record is from Ensembl.
GGUCAGUGAUGUGAUGGCAUGUAUUACCUGAAUCCAAAGUUGAUGGAUAUCACACUUUAGCUCUAGAAUUACACUGAGACCUU